Molecule: ribosomal RNA, 450 nt
Filed under: uncultured Glomeromycotina
Lineage: Eukaryota; Fungi; Glomeromycota
Description: SSU rRNA
Rfam family: Eukaryotic small subunit ribosomal RNA
Source: RNAcentral
AGCAGCCGCGGUAAUUCCAGCUCCAAUAGCGUAUAUUAAAGUUGUUGCAGUUAAAAAGCUCGUAGUUGAAUUUCGGGGUCAGUAGGUCGGUCGUGCCACUGGUAUGAACUGGUUUUACUGAUUCCUCCCUCUUGAAGAACUGUAAUGCCAUUAAUUUGGUGUUGCAGGGAAUCAGGACUGUUACUUUGAAAAAAUUAGAGUGUUUAAAGCAGGCUUUAGCUUGAAUACAUUAGCAUGGAAUAAUGAAAUAGGACGUUUGAUCCUAUUUUGUUGGUUUCUAGGAUUGACGUAAUGAUUAAUAGGGAUAGUUGGGGGCAUUAGUAUUCAAUUGUCAGAGGUGAAAUUCUUGGAUUUAUUGAAGACUAACUACUGCGAAAGCAUUUGCCAAGGAUGUUUUCAUUAAUCAAGAACGAAAGUUAGGGGAUCGAAGACGAUCAGAUACCGUCGUAG